GUUUUAAUUUAGUGGACAUAUAGAACUUCUUCUGACAUCUAAAUGGUCCACUGGUGGGACAGAAAAGGGAAACUGGAUCUUUGAAACCCUCUGUUGUCACCUCUCUCAUUAUUCCCGCUCUGAUGACAACACGGAGCAUACUGUCAACGUCCUCCAGAAAGAAGAAGAUAAAAACCUACACAAUGUUAC
Long non-coding RNA from Hipposideros armiger (great roundleaf bat), 189 nucleotides. RefSeq lists it as uncharacterized. Lineage: Eukaryota; Metazoa; Chordata; Mammalia; Chiroptera; Hipposideridae. The transcript is spliced from 3 exons. The record is from RefSeq and is a predicted model, not a curated record.